GCCCAGCGCUAAAGCUUGUAGCUCUAACGGGUUACGAGCGGUGUAGCGUAUAGCAGGCGAUUUUCCUUGAUGGUUGUCGACUUAAUUUCUCCUUGACUGGGGAUCCAUAGAAGGUGAAAGGCCUGUUCAGUCGAUGACCGUCUCGGAUUCCGCUCUGCUUGGAGUCGGGUUGUUUGGGAACGCAGCCCAAAUUGGGUGGUAAACUUCAUCUAAGGCUAAAUACGGCCACGAAACCGAUAGCAAACAAGUACCGUGAGGGAAAGUUGAAAAGUACUUUGAAGAGAGAGUUCAAGAGGACGUGAAACCGGUAGGAUGGAAACGGAUAGAGCCAACGAACAAGCCCGUAUUCAGCUAGUCGGCUGCGUGCGGCGUGCCCGUGCGAUUGCUAAUGUCGUGCGGGUGCGUGCGGUAUGUGGUUGGCUAGUGCAUUUGCGGGUGAUGUGCGCUGAGGCGUGUGGUGGAGUGCUGCGAACCGUUCGGAGAGGCCUCGCCUUCGGGCUUGAAACCUACGAGCGGGGAGUAGUGUUUCUGCUGCACGUAGUUAUACGGCUAGGUGAACUCGCGCUGUCGGGUUGCCGGGCUGGUUGCUUGGUCGGUCGCAUGCGACUAGGCCUCGUAGCUAGUCUUGGUGGCUCGGCAGUGCCCUGGCCGGGCCUCGGUGUAAAAGUUGGUCAUCUCUCCGACCCGUCUUGAAACACGGACCAAGGAGUCUAGCGUAUACGCGAGUCAUUGGGUGGAAAACCCAUAGGCGAAAUGAAAGUGAAGGUCGCUUUCUGCGGCUGAUAUGCGAUCCGUGGCACUCCGGUGUCGCGGAGCAGCAUAGCCCCGUCUCGACCGCUUGCGGUGGGGCGGAGGUAGAGCGUACUCGCUGGUACCCGAAAGAUGGUGAACUAUGCCUGAGCAGGAUGAAGCCAGAGGAAACUCUGGUGGAGGUCCGAAGCGCUUCUGACGUGCAAAUCGAUCGUCU
Molecule: ribosomal RNA, 967 nt
Filed under: Zeldia sp. JB-140
Lineage: Eukaryota; Metazoa; Nematoda; Chromadorea; Rhabditida; Cephalobidae
Description: eukaryotic LSU rRNA
Rfam family: Eukaryotic large subunit ribosomal RNA
Source: RNAcentral